UAGGGAAUCUUCGGCAAUGGACGAAAGUCUGACCGAGCAACGCCGCGUGAGUGAAGAAGGUUUUCGGAUCGUAAAACUCUGUUGUUAGAGAAGAACAAGGACGUUAGUAACUGAACGUCCCCUGACGGUAUCUAACCAGAAAGCCACGGCUAACUACGUGCCAGCAGCCGCGGUAAUACGUAGGUGGCAAGCGUUGUCCGGAUUUAUUGGGCGUAAAGCGAGCGCAGGCGGUUUCUUAAGUCUGAUGUGAAAGCCCCCGGCUCAACCGGGGAGGGUCAUUGGAACCUAGGAGACUUGAGUGCAGAAGAGGAGAGUGGAAUUCCAUGUGUAGCGGUGAAAUGCGUAGAUAUAUGGAGGAACACCAGUGGCGAAGGCGGCUCUCUGGUCUGUAACUGACGCUGAGGCUCGAAAGCGUGGGGAGCAAACAGG
This 429-nucleotide ribosomal RNA is filed under the name Chloroflexota bacterium. RNAcentral's name for it is "Chloroflexi bacterium partial 16S ribosomal RNA". It matches the Rfam family "Bacterial small subunit ribosomal RNA", at positions 355 to 776 of the family's 1533-position model. The record is from RNAcentral. Lineage: Bacteria; Bacillati; Chloroflexota.